GCGGGGGUGCCCGAGCCAGGCCAAAGGGGCAGGGCUCAAGACCCUGUGGCGUAGGCCUGCGUGGGUUCAAAUCCCACCCCCCGCACCA
This 88-nucleotide transfer RNA is filed under the name Pyrobaculum aerophilum. Its description in RNAcentral is "tRNA-Leu". It matches the Rfam family "tRNA". Rfam says of the family: Transfer RNA (tRNA) molecules are approximately 80 nucleotides in length. The record is from RNAcentral. Lineage: Archaea; Thermoproteati; Thermoproteota; Thermoprotei; Thermoproteales; Thermoproteaceae. RNAcentral also lists the same sequence under 8 other names.